UUGCACGCUGGCGGCAGGCCUAACACCUGCCAGUCGAGCGGAUGAAGGGAGCUUGCUCCUGGAUUCAGCGGCGGACGGGUGAGUAAUGCCUAGGAAUCUGCCUGGUAGUGGGGGAUAACGUCCGGAAACGGGCGCUAAUACCGCAUACGUCCUGAGGGAGAAAGUGGGGGAUCUUCGGACCUCACGCUAUCAGAUGAGCCUAGGUCGGAUUAGCUAGUUGGUGGGGUAAAGGCCUACCAAGGCGACGAUCCGUAACUGGUCUGGGAGGAUGAUCAGUCACACUGGAACUGAGACACGGUCCAGACUCCUACGGGAGGCAGCAGUGGGGAAUAUUGGACAAUGGGCGAAAGCCUGAUCCAGCCAUGCCGCGUGUGUGAAGAAGGUCUUCGGAUUGUAAAGCACUUUAAGUUGGGAGGAAGGGCAGUAAGUUAAUACCUUGCUGUUUUGACGUUACCAACAGAAUAAGCACCGGCUAACUUCGUG
Molecule: ribosomal RNA, 483 nt
Filed under: uncultured bacterium
Lineage: Bacteria
Description: partial 16S ribosomal RNA
Rfam family: Bacterial small subunit ribosomal RNA
Source: RNAcentral